This 497-nucleotide ribosomal RNA is filed under the name uncultured bacterium. Its description in RNAcentral is "partial 16S ribosomal RNA". It matches the Rfam family "Bacterial small subunit ribosomal RNA", at positions 28 to 507 of the family's 1533-position model. The record is from RNAcentral.
GAUGAACGCUGGCGGCGUGCCUAAUACAUGCAAGUCGAGCGAACAGACGAGGAGCUUGCUCCUCUGACGUUAGCGGCGGACGGGUGAGUAACAUGUGGAUAACCUACCUAUAAGACUGGGAUAACUUCGGGAAACCGGAGCUAAUACCGGAUAAUAUAUUGAACCGCAUGGUUCAAUAGUGAAAGACGGUUUUGCUGUCACUUAUAGAUGGAUCCGCGCCGCAUUAGCUAGUUGGUAAGGUAACGGCUUACCAAGGCAACGAUGCGUAGCCGACCUGAGAGGGUGAUCGGCCACACUGGAACUGAGACACGGUCCAGCCUCCUACGGGAGGCAGCAGUAGGGAAUCUUCCGCAAUGGGCGAAAGCCUGACGGAGCAACGCCGCGUGAGUGAUGAAGGUCUUCGGAUCGUAAAACUCUGUUAUUAGGGAAGAACAAAUGUGUAAGUAACUAUGCACGUCUUGACGGUACCUAAUCAGAAAGCCACGGCUAACUACGUG